RNAcentral lists this long non-coding RNA (3209 nucleotides) under Gallus gallus (chicken). The record is from RNAcentral. Lineage: Eukaryota; Metazoa; Chordata; Aves; Galliformes; Phasianidae.
GGCAGGCUGCGUGCGCCUGUCAAGGGGGGGAGAAAAAAAAAAGAGUGAAAAUAUAUAUAUCGUUGGCCAAUGGGAAAGAGGGAUCGGGAGAGACCCAAAAGCUGUGGACCAAUGGGGAGGGAAGGAGAGCCGGGCUUCGGGACGAGGAAUUUUGGCCGUCCGCGGCCCCCGAGCACCGGGCGGGGAGUUAACCCUUCGCGGAGCGCCGCGCUCUGAGUGCGGGGAGGUGGCGGCGGUGGCACUCCCGCUCCGCGCUGCCCGCGGGCUCGGGAACGAAGCCCCCGAAAAUUAAGACAUAAACAACGCGAAGCGCUCGAAAGAGGCCUUCAAAUCUGGGGGUGGCGGACCGGAGAGUGCUGCUCAAACCGUCGUCCACGCCGUGUGCCGUGGGGUCGGCAAUGGGGUUGGCGGUGGGGACUUCACUGUCGUUUCGAAGUGAAACUUACAACGCCGUUGAGCGAACGAACCCUCCAGGCACGGCUCACGGCAGCGGUAGAGAUGGCAUAGGCCGCUCUGCCUGCUCUGCCCCAAACCCUUCGAGCCCGUAGGGUAAAGGAAAUCGGGGCCGAACUCCGAGAGGGAGAGGCAGCUCUAUGAUCGGAGAGCGGGGAUCCGUGCGAUCGAGCGAAACCCCGUUUGGGGAAGAAGUAGAGGGAGUUACACCGUUUCCGAGGAUCGAGGGGAGGCUCGGGAUAAACAAUAAAUAAUUCUAUAGGAUGAGUUUGGUUUAGUGUGGAUGGAGCCGCUUUGGGCGGCGGAUGGCGGGGAGCGGUGUUUGGGGUCGGAGCGCCGUGGGGACGAGGGGUGGGGACGGCUGGCGACGCUGCCGCGGUGCCGCUAUUGGGGGUACGCGGAACAGCUCGGCCACGUCUGCCCGAUCCGAAGCGGGGUCCUCCUGGCUUCGAGUGGGGGAAGGGGGAUUCGGGCAGAAAGGCGAGAAAGGACCGAUAUCCCCGGGAAACGCCGGCGAAGCGGAGUGCCGCUAUGUAGGCCGAGGAGCGGGUUUUGUGCGGCCCCGCCGCCCGCCCCGCACCCCCCGCCGCUCCUUUCCCCUCCCCUCCCCUCUGGGCAUCGCCUCUGACGGGUCGCGCCCGGCCGGGAGUGCCCCAACCCGCGGGGAGGGAGGUCGCGUUCCGGAUCCCGGGGGAGAGGGGGAAAGCGGGGGGGAGAGCGGCGCGCUCGGAGGGAGCGCUCGCAGGGGGCCGCGGCUCAGCGCCGGCACCGGGGCCGGGACGGAGUGAGGGCCGUGAAGGACACCGCCGGCCCCGGGGCCGUGGAGAGGAGCGGUGCUCCCGACCAGAACCCGCUCCCUCAUUUCCGAGAGGAGACGGAGAGCGAAGAGGGCUUCUAAAGGAGCUGGAAGGGAGAGUUUAGAAAGAGAGCCCAAGAAAACAGAGAAUUAUUUACAGCGUUUUAGCGGGAGGAAAUGGUGUUGGAAAGGCAGCGCGACUGCAACGAAAUUUGGGGGGCGAUGCAUGAACACCGAGAUAGAUUUUCCCGGGUCUCAGCGUGGUUUUUCGCACCGAGCUUUUCCAGCAGCCCCGACCCCUUCUCAGUCCGCGGCCGAGGGGCAGAGCCCCGCACCGCACCGGGAGGGCCGGGAGCGAGGGCAGCGCCCAGCACCGCUCCCACUCUGAGGGACCCCGGGGGGAGCAGCCCCUCCGCCGGCCCUUCGGCCUCAACCUCCGUUAAAUCCGGGAAACCGCUCUCUGGAAUCGAGCGGGCGGGAGCGGGGGUCUCAGGGCCGGGCCCGGAGAUGAAGCAAGAAAUCAUUCACUCCCUCUCCUCCCCGUCGCCUGAAAAUAUUUGUUUGCGGAUGGGAAUGUUUGCAAAGGGGAGAUACGGGGGUGGCGGCAGCGGCGGAGCGCUGCGCAGAUGUGAUGCUCGCGGGGCUGAGCGCAGCCAGCAACGCCGGGUCUGAGGGUCCCGCAGCCACAUCGAGCGCGGAGAGCUCUUUUUUUUCCCCGUUGAUAAUUGAAAACAAUGUUAAAACGAGCGUGGGCUGAGGGCUGCCCGAUAACGGGGGCGCGGGGUGUGCUGCGCUUCAGUACAUCGACCGCCUUCAGAGCGCAGCGGAGCUGCCGAGGCGGUGCCCUCGGAAGCGGCUUUGGGGCGCUUCGAGCCACGAGCGGGGCUGAGGCUGCGAGCGAAGCACGGCAGCGGUCUGUUUUAUGGUCCGCACGGACGGUAUCGCUGCGUAUGGAGAACUAAUUCCUAAUUACGUCCCUACUGCGGCGCCCAUUCGUUGCCCCCUUCGGCUCCCCCCCGCUCUUUUCGGGCUCGGAGAAGCGAAGAGCCGCACGACGUUUACGGUCCGGGUGUUUUUCAAUGGGCUUUGUUUGUGCUUUACGGGACGAAGCUCUCAAUGAGUGUUUAAACAAACACCAUGCCACUCUCCUAAGCCUUCCAGAUGUUUGCAAUAAAAUGUCAGGUUUUGCCUUUGGGACUCGAAAUAAAAUUUAACUGCCUUCACCCUGUAAUUAUUCUCUUAGCUCUCCCUUCAUAAAUUUAUCUGCUUUCUAUCAGGAUAGAAAAAAAAAAUCCGAUUAUAAACUCGGACCGUAAAACAGCCACCGCUUUCCCUCCAUUUUACCGGGACCUCUUCCUCUCUCGUUGCUUUCCUGCCUUCCUGGGCGCGAAGCAGCAAAAUUCCCCGUCCCCCACUAUUGUUCCCGUGCCUCAGCCGGUCUACGGCGCCCCGGCACCGUGUCGGGAGCUGGAGCUGCCCCCGUGCUGUAGGUAACGAUGAUGAACCCUUAGGAGCAAGCGGGUCCCUCUCCCGAACAAAGGCUUGCAGAGACCUCUGACUCUUUGGUCGCUACGUUAGAACAGCAAAGGCAGAGCUGAGAGCCCUACAUCGGGUAUUGACCGUAAUUCAGGACAAUCCGGAGCGCUAAGCGAUAUUUUCCUCCCUUUCUUUCUCGGUUUUUUCGUUUUCUGCCCUAUUUCGUUUUCUUUUCAGCCCCGCGGAGCUUCCGCAGCGUUCAGCUUUUGCUUCCCCAUUGACCCCUCCAUCCCCUCCGCCGGGGUCUCAGUCCUCGCACACACCGGCGGUGGCUGCCGCCCCACUCUUUUAUUGUUAUCAGCGUUUUCCCUCACUCUUUGCUGACGUACCGCCCGCCCCGAGCAGGUGAGCUCUCGGGCGGUGAGAGGCCCGGGGCCGGGCGGGGGCCUCCAGAGACGGCUUCGGAGGAGCCCUUGGAUCGGGA